GUGGGGAAUAUUGGACAAUGGGCGAAAGCCUGAUCCAGCCAUGCCGCGUGUGUGAAGAAGGUCUUCGGAUUGUAAAGCACUUUAAGUUGGGAGGAAGGGCAGUAAGUUAAUACCUUGCUGUUUUGACGUUACCGACAGAAUAAGCACCGGCUAACUUCGUGCCAGCAGCCGCGGUAAUACGAAGGGUGCAAGCGUUAAUCGGAAUUACUGGGCGUAAAGCGCGCGUAGGUGGUUUUGUAAGUUGGAGGUGAAAUCCCCGGGCUCAACCUGGGAACUGCCUCCAAAACUGAAUGACUAGAUUACGGUAGAGGGUAGUGGAAUUUCCUUUGUAGCGGUGAAAUGCGUAGAUAUAGGAAGGAACACCAGUGGCGAAGGCGACUACCUGGACUGAUACUGACACUGAGGUGCGAAAGCGUGGGGAGCAAACAGGAUUAGAAACCCUGGUAGUCC
This 450-nucleotide ribosomal RNA is filed under the name uncultured bacterium. RNAcentral describes it as "partial 16S ribosomal RNA". It matches the Rfam family "Bacterial small subunit ribosomal RNA", at positions 354 to 796 of the family's 1533-position model. The record is from RNAcentral.